Molecule: non-coding RNA, 229 nt
Organism: Pelobates cultripes (western spadefoot toad)
Lineage: Eukaryota; Metazoa; Chordata; Amphibia; Anura; Pelobatidae
Source: the annotation of a GenBank genome assembly
CAGGUAGGAAAUAUAUAAUCAACCAUGACACGUGCAUUCUGUUUUGAGAUAUGUAGAGAGGGAUCUCUUAACCCCUUAAGGACCAAACUUCUGGAAUAAAAGGGAAUCAUGACAUGUCACACAUGUCAUGUGUCAACCAUAACACAUGCAUUCUGUUUUGAGAUAUGUAGAGAGGGAUCUCUUAAAUGACUUUAGGGAAGAUUUUAAAUUGUGCGGGAGGUCGUUCCAC